ACUGAAACACUGAUUCCCGUGUGAACACCGACGUAAAGCAACGUCGAGCCUGGUCAGUACCUAGAUGGGUAACCUCUGAGGAUUAUCAGGUGCUA
Molecule: non-coding RNA, 95 nt
Organism: Acanthosepion pharaonis
Lineage: Eukaryota; Metazoa; Mollusca; Cephalopoda; Sepiida; Sepiidae
Source: the annotation of a GenBank genome assembly